CAAAAUGUAUCAUAAAUAGCACUAUUGGCUGAAGAAUGAGUAAAACUUCCACCAUGGAAGAAAAUAAUGACAGGUACAAUUUCUGUGGUACUCAAAGGUUUCUCAAGCUCUACUUUACCCCAAUCGGCCUCAUUUUUUGGGGCCGGUCUAUAGACACGGUUAAGCAGGCUUGUAGCACGAUCAAGGACAUCAAAACAGUAAACUCCAUCAACUGGAAUAGAGUUAGCAGCGACUUUCCUUUCCAAGAACUCAGCCAAAUCGCGAUUAAACGUGCCAUCAGACCGCCGAAGCAUGUUGUAAGCCAGCUUGAAAUUGGAUAUAAGAAUCCAUGUAUUAAGUGGAACCACUCUCUGCCAAAAUGGACAUAAUAAGGUCUCGUCAUUACAAAAAUAACAUCUACAAAUAGUAGAACCAAUAUUCACUCCCCUUUCUGAGGUACUAAAAGCAAAUUGAUCAUAGCAAUAUGCAUCUUGUGACAAUCCACAAAUAGUCACAACAAAUAAAGGAAAUAUCUGGCAAAAUUUUUAUGCAUAGCCAGAAAGAGAAAGUAGCAAAUGGAAAAGAAAGAAUCAAACUCCAAAAGAGCAAAUGGGAAAGCAAAAGGUGAUUUUGUAAAAGACAGGCCAAAGAAACAUAAGAAUGACAUACCAUCUACCUAAUCAAAGCUCAUUCACAAAAAUCAAUCAUAAAGUUUCAUCCUUUUUUCCUCAAAAAAAAAAAAAAUUCAAAUUUUCUUAGACACAAAAAGGUCACACCACAAAAGAUAGAUACUUUCAGACAUAAAAUGAUCAUCUAAUGAAGAAAAACUGGCAAUUAACAGAAUCAUUACCUGCCAAGCUUAAUAAAAUUUCACAAAGGGAAAAGGCUCAACUCAAAGAUGAAGAAGAAACCAAAGA
This 896-nucleotide long non-coding RNA is filed under the name Nicotiana tabacum (common tobacco). Its description in RNAcentral is "long non-coding RNA (NTAB_LNC001199)". The record is from RNAcentral. Lineage: Eukaryota; Viridiplantae; Streptophyta; Magnoliopsida; Solanales; Solanaceae.